This 507-nucleotide ribosomal RNA is filed under the name uncultured bacterium. RNAcentral describes it as "bacterial SSU rRNA". It matches the Rfam family "Bacterial small subunit ribosomal RNA", at positions 40 to 507 of the family's 1533-position model. The record is from RNAcentral.
CGGCAUGCCUAAGACAUGCAAGUCGAACGAAGUGGCCCAAUGAAGAAUGCGAGCUUGCUCAAAUUCGGAUUUGGUUUACCACUUAGUGGCGCAAGGGUGAGUAACACGUGGGUAAUCUACCUUCGAGUCUGGAAUAACGUUUGGAAACGACUGCUAAUACCGAAUAAGAUAUAUAGCAAUAUAUAUUGAAAGAAGCCUUUAAAGCUUCACUUAAAGAUGGGCCUGCGGCGUAUUAACUAGUUGGUGAGGUAAUGGCUCACCAAGGUAACGAUGCGUAGCCGAACUGAGAGGUUGAACGGCCACACUGGGACUGAGACACGGCCCAGACUCCUACGGGAGACAGCAGUUAGGAAUAUUCGUCAAUGGGGGAAACCCUGAACGAGCAAUGCCGCGUGAGUGAUGAAGGCCCUAUGGGUUGUAAAACUCUGUUGUAUGGGAAGAAUGGCUAUAUUAGGAAAUGGAUAUAGAGUGACGGUACCAUACCAGAAAGCUCCGGCUAACUACGUG